AACAAAGUUAUAGAUACUAUAAAAUGGAUUCCUGCUAGCAAACAAAAUACUAUCUGUUUCUUCGGGAGAAAGAAAAGAAGAAAUAUGCAGGCAAAAUACUGUCUUCUCUUCGUGCUGUUAAUUGGUUCGAUUAUCGCUUCCACGGAUGGCUUUGUGCCCUCGCAAAGGCCGGCUGGAAGGAAGAGGGAGUUUGAGAAGAUCCAACGAGAUUUGUGCCGAGCAGCAAUGCAGGUUCAGUGUUGUGACUUGGCCGAAGAUGAAGGAAUGAAGGGAUGAACGAGAUGUCAAGCUACAGUCGUUAAAUGGAGAUUAAAACAUGCAGAACUAAAAAAAGAACAAAUGACUUAAGUAAUGUUUAAACUGGACUUGAUAUCAUGGAAUUAAAUAUGUCUUAAAUUAAUGUUGAAAAAUGAACAAAAUGGCGAAUCGUGAACGUCAA
Orbicella faveolata is the source of this 439-nucleotide long non-coding RNA. RefSeq lists it as uncharacterized. The record is from RefSeq and is a predicted model, not a curated record. NCBI's taxonomy places the organism in Eukaryota, Metazoa, Cnidaria, Anthozoa, Scleractinia, Merulinidae.